AUACGUAGGUGACAAGCGUUAUCCGGAUUUACUGGGUGUAAAGGGCGUGUAGGCGGAGAUGCAAGUCAGGAGUGAAAUCUAGGGGCUCAACCCCUAAACUGCUUUUGAAACUGUAUCCCUUGAGUAUCGGAGAGGCAGGCGGAAUUCCUAGUGUAGCGGUGAAAUGCGUAGAUAUAAGGAAGAACACCAGUGGCGAAGGCGGGCUACUGGACAGUAACUGACGCUGAGGCGCGAAAGCGUGGGGAGCGAACAGGAUUAGAUACCCUGGUAGUCCACGCGGUAAACGAUGAAUGCUAGGUGUUGCGGGUAUCGACCCCUGCAGUGCCGGAGUAAACACAAUAAGCACUCCGCCUGGGGAGUACGUACGCAAGUAUGAAACUCAAAGGAAUUGACGGGG
RNAcentral lists this ribosomal RNA (397 nucleotides) under uncultured bacterium. RNAcentral describes it as "partial 16S ribosomal RNA". It matches the Rfam family "Bacterial small subunit ribosomal RNA", at positions 523 to 918 of the family's 1533-position model. The record is from RNAcentral.